This is a long non-coding RNA of Apis cerana (Asiatic honeybee), 1803 nucleotides long. RefSeq lists it as uncharacterized. The record is from RefSeq and is a predicted model, not a curated record. NCBI's taxonomy places the organism in Eukaryota, Metazoa, Arthropoda, Insecta, Hymenoptera, Apidae.
UGCGAGAGAGUAUUGGUCCCAUCACUAGACAGCGAACGCGAAACCCAACUGUGUGAGCAAGCGGAACGUGUCCUUGACUGCGCAAGUCCGCUAUGUCCUACACACCCACCUAUCGGACACCGUGAGCUGGAGCGGACCCCAACAGGAACGCACUGUGCACCGCUCCUGCCUGCGGGAUCUGUAUGCGUUCACCGAGCUUGAUCGAAAACGAGAAAACGAGUGAAGUGAGAAAGAGAGAAAGAGCGAAAAAAGAACAGAAAGAGAUAACCUCAUCGAGCCAAGACGAAUCAUGCUCGGAGGAAAGACCGGGAUUGUGGAAUGAUCUUAACGAGACGAGUAUAUACUAACAGAGAAGGAGCAAUUUCUAUGAGGUUCUUUCGAUCCCGUUUUCUUCCCUUUAAAAGUCCUUGUUGAAUAUAUCGAUAUUUUUUCCUGCUACAUAACCUCAACUAUCCUUGUAUCGUAAAAGAAAACGAUAGGCAGAACCUUCUUGUUCCUGGAGAUAAAAGUCUUGGUUUCCGGUUCGUUGAACUGGAACUGAGACGAAGUGUAUAAGAUUCGGUCUACGGAGCUUGAUCAUAGACGACCGGCUCUUAGGUUAGAAGAUAUCCGGAUUGCUUUGAAAUUACCGCGCGUACGAUUACUAUGACGAUUAAUUAACGAAUUAUUCACCAUUAUUGAAAUAUAAGAGUUACAGCAUGGGCGAGAAAUGAAAAAUACUCGGUGUUCGCGUAUAAUUAGCGGCCGUAGAGUUUCCUAGUCGCGACGUGAUGGUCGAGGUGAUCACGAGGAGGGAAAGGAGGAGUGGAUGGAUAGAAAGAGAAGGCAAGCGCAAUGAAUCAAAAGGAGAGGAACGAGUGAGAAAGAGGCAACGGAGAGAGGGCCACUGUCACUGCCAGGGCUACGGUGAGCCUAUUUUUAUUCUAACUAUGCAAAAGGGCCCAGAUACGGGGUAUGAAGGCAAAAGUCCCGCGGCACAGGAAGAGAAUGGCCAGAAACUAAGCGAGAAUUAGGAACGAGGAAACGUCUCGUGUUUAGCUAAGACUCGAGGCCGAUGACAUUCGUCCGAAACGAGGUUCCACGUACUACAAGCUUGUUUGUCCCGGCAACGGAGUUGUAGCCUUCGCUAGCGCACUAGGCUGGUAUUCGUCUGGUUCUCGGGCAGAAAGGCCGGAGAGAAAGAAGCGGACAAAGAGGAUCGUAGAACGAAAAAGGAAGGAGUAUUAGCGGAGGCACGAAAAGCGGAGGUACGAAGAGGAGGCGAUGCAGAAGGAGGUGAUGAAGAGGGGGAGGUGUGCGUCGCAGGACGUUCACCUUUCCUCUAUGGGCUUGCAAGAGGCUGGUUCGGGCCGCCAUUACACAAUCGUCGGGUUCGCUUGUCCGCUCCUCGGCCACGGCCGCCAUGUUGGUACCGGUCGGUGCGUCAACCAUGGUUCAAGAUCUUCACGGUGAAGGUCCCGCGGAGUUCCAUAGACGGGUACGCUAUGCCGCGCAUCAUGGAAUGUCUCUUUCGUUUCACGUGUUUCCAGAUCGAUAACGUUUGUAAGAAACGACGGAUAUGUCGUAAAUAAUUUUUUUUAAAGAAUUAAUUGAUAAAAUAUUUUUUAGGAUCUAUUAUUUUGUUUUUGACUUUGGAAUAAUGGAAAUGUUAAAAUUAAUAUAAUAAAAAAUUUUAUGCUAUAUCAUUAAGUAUAAGUAUAUUAAGUAUUAAUAAAUUUCAAUAUUUAAAAGUUAAAUUAAUCUUUUCGAAAUAAAUUUUCAAACUUUAUAAUUUAAAAUAACACGAAUUAAAUCUCCAAUACG